UACGUAGGGUGCGAGCGUUAAUCGGAAUUACUGGGCGUAAAGCGUGCGCAGGCGGUUUUGUAAGACAGAUGUGAAAUCCCCGGGCUCAACCUGGGACCUGCAUUUGUGACUGCAAGGCUAGAGUACGGUAGAGGGGGAUGGAAUUCCGCGUGUAGCAGUGAAAUGCGUAGAUAUGCGGAGGAACACCGAUGGCGAAGGCAAUCCCCUGGACCUGUACUGACGCUCAUGCACGAAAGCGUGGGGAGCAAACAGG
RNAcentral lists this ribosomal RNA (253 nucleotides) under uncultured bacterium. RNAcentral describes it as "partial 16S ribosomal RNA". It matches the Rfam family "Bacterial small subunit ribosomal RNA", at positions 524 to 776 of the family's 1533-position model. The record is from RNAcentral.